AGCUUUGCGCAGUGGCAGUAUCGUAGCUAAUGAGGUUAAUCCGAGGCGCGAUUAUUGCUAGUUGAAAACUUUUCCCAAUACCCCGCCGUGGUAGCUUGCAAUAUAGUUGCCACCGGCAAUUUUUGAGGGCCUCUUCGGAGG
This 141-nucleotide small nuclear RNA is filed under the name Apteryx rowi (Okarito brown kiwi). RNAcentral's name for it is "U4 spliceosomal RNA (ENSARWG00000003852.1)". It matches the Rfam family "U4 spliceosomal RNA". Rfam says of the family: U4 small nuclear RNA (U4 snRNA) is a component of the major U2-dependent spliceosome. The structure of U4 snRNA from yeast and human has been reported. The record is from RNAcentral. Lineage: Eukaryota; Metazoa; Chordata; Aves; Apterygiformes; Apterygidae.